UCUGAACAUGGAGCAUACUAAAUCUCCCAACAGGAGAGCCAUUUCAGGCAUAACAGCCAUUUCAAUAAAACAGUAAGGAAGCCUUCAAUGCUAAAACUAAUGCAAUGGAAGAACAGCCAGAUGAGGCACUGGUUUUUAUCAUAGCCCCACUGGAGAGAAAUCAUUUUGUAGCAUGACUUCUUUGAAGGGUUUUACUCAUCUGAGUUGUCCCAUUGCCUUGACACUUGUUCACAUAAAAUAAGGUGAAGAUUUGCUCCACUGUUACAGAAUACCUGAAAAUGGGGCUUAAUCUCUUUCCCCUUCUUAGAGAAGCCCAACAGAAGCAUACAGCCAGAGGCGGUGUCAGAGCCAAGAUGCACUUGCGAUUCAAAUAGCAAGCUAAUAUUUGAUGAAAUGGGAAAAACUAUUAUUUGGAUUUUCUAUUUCAUUUAUAUGAAGCUGAGGAUGGAAAACAAAGCUCCGUGAAAUCACUAGGAGAGCUGAUGAAACUGGAUUUUUACUCACUAUCACCACAACAGAGAUUUUGAUGUGCUACAUGCAGUCCUUGGUGUAGAGUCCAGUCCUGUUGAGGGCUUCUGUGGAUAAUUUCCUUGCUAAUAAUAUUCAGUUUAUCAUUUAUCAUUUUCUCUACAAGUUCUGCUCUAAACUGAGCUCCUCCACCUUUUCUAAAAUAGCAAUUGCUGUUACCUGGAGAAUGUUGUACAAUGGUGGGGGUUUUUGUUGGUCUGCUUUAGAAACAUAUUUUCUCAGCUCUAGUAUCUUUUCUUACAUUUUAAGGGUAUUUUUACAUCUGGAGAAAUAAAUAACCUUCAACAUUUUAAAAAUAGGUGUAAGUCUGAAACUACAUAGUCACAGAAAUUAUUCCUCUGUUUCAUUGUUUAUAGCUUGGAGGACAUAAUAACAAAAUCCUGCUGCUUGUUAUCUUUGAUUAGAAAUUACUGCUGUAUUUUCAAUUAACAUUGUUUAAAAUGUUUUACAAUCUAAUUUUCCAUGCAAACAAGAACAGUGAAACCUUUUAAAAGCUGCAUAUAUAUGAUGAAUUAAUGUUUAUUGUCGUAUAUUGAAAUAUGUUUGUUUCAGACACCCUCUUUGACCAACACUUGUAUCUGCAGAUGCUAAAAAGGUGAUGUGGAAGCCAAAUUAUUGUAGUUAUUAUAUUUAAUUACAAAGUGCCUGCUGUGGGAGUUGGUGAUAAUUUUGAUACAAGAUCAGGUAACAUAGGUUCAGUUAUUCUUGUGUGGAGACAAAUCUUCAGCUGACGUUGAGGAGUGUAACCCCCUGGAAGCCAAGAGAGUUGUGCUGUUUGACAGGUGAGGAGGUGGUUCACCAUGGGACAGUCAGCUGUGUGUGCUCCUCCCACCCAAGGUCCAUGUCUUUGUAGUGAAUUGCACUGGAAGCUGUUGGCUGGUACUGAACAAGUAAGGGUAGAAAGAGAGAUGAAUAUGAGUUGUCCAUUUUCACAAGGAACCAACUUCAUGUUCAUGGCAUACUUUGCUACAACGAUUUGAUGUACUUCUCCCAAACAUCCUAGAGAAGAUACAAUUUAUUUUUCAGGUUUUGGGGCAAUCUUCUCCACCUACCUGGUGGUCCUGAACAGCCAGGCCUGGUGCAGAUACCUUCAACACAGUUGGAUGUGAGAAGACUGAGGGGAGGCCUCAUCACAGUGUGCAGCUUCUUCACAAGCCAGCGAGGAUGAGGGGCAGAGGAAUCCCUGACGUGGGAUCUGAGCCGCUGCCGAGGCAUUUCACGCUCUGCCUGCGGAGGAAGAGGAGCGCUGCACCCCACGGGAACAGUGAGGGAGCAGCAGGUCUCUACUGCUUCUACACACUGCCUCAGAUCCACUGGAGCAUCUUCCUUACAGCAGCUCUGCGUCCAACUCAGAUGUACAAACUUCAGCAUCUCACUGUGUCACUGCCAAGAACAGGGACUAGAAAACAGACUGCAAAUCCCAAAGUAGUAGGAUUCGAUCUAAAAUGAAGUAACAUAAUUGGCAUAUCUGGCCUCUGCCGUUACUUGUCUUACUGUAGUACUUCUAACUUACUAGGUUGCAUAACUACUUUGAAGAGCAAAAGGCAGAGAUAUCUGUGUUUGUCAACAAAGUAUCUUAAACAUCAGAAACCACUUAUAAUUCAUUCUGACUUGCUUGAGAUGCAUACAGAAGGAACGCGUCCAUUAGGAAAGUUGGAAUUGAUGUUUUAAAAAUUACACAAAUGAUAUGCCAUUUUUACUGAUACUUAUUUUUAGAUGAUUUCAAAUUACUUUAGAAAUCGAUAGGUUGGUGCAGUCCUACAUCUUAUACGAAGACUAACAGACAAAGAUAAAAGGUUACUAAUGAUUGCUAUUUAUUUUGUUAAGUCCAUAAAAAGUGCAUAGUACAAGCCCUUUAUCCCAAUCCAAGUACUCAGUAAAAGAUUACUAGGAAACUGUGAAUGGCACAGAUGAUUUUUUGUUUGGCAAAAUUCAGACAUUUUAAACCACUGAUUUACAUUAGGUGUAUCACACCAUCACUCUUCCUUUUUCAA
Molecule: long non-coding RNA, 2522 nt
Organism: Columba livia (rock pigeon)
Lineage: Eukaryota; Metazoa; Chordata; Aves; Columbiformes; Columbidae
Exons: 2
Source: RefSeq, a predicted model, not a curated record